Molecule: long non-coding RNA, 482 nt
Organism: Hypanus sabinus (Atlantic stingray)
Lineage: Eukaryota; Metazoa; Chordata; Chondrichthyes; Myliobatiformes; Dasyatidae
Exons: 4
Source: RefSeq, a predicted model, not a curated record
GCUCACUAGCGUACAUUGGCACGCCAAGAGCAGCCAGUUCAGGCUCUGAAUCUCCAUGACUGGACCUGGGGUGAACACUUCUGUUUUUAGCGCAGCUGUCUGGUCAAUAAUUAGCUUCAAACGCGGGCUGGGCAAGGUUUAAUGCUUAUAACAUUGGAAUUCAAAUCCAUAAAUUCCAACGGCCCAGUCAACGGCAGGAGCAGGCUAAAGCGACGAGGUUUCUUGCAGGAUGAACAGUAUUCCGCUCCUCAUUCCCUUUGCAUUUAUCUUCCUACUGGUAUGUGUAACCCCUGAGCCAAUUGGAAAUGAAGAUGGAUGGAAAUCUUUAGAGAAGCAACAAAACAGGGACUUGUUUUUCCGAAUCCUUCAGUCCUAUUUCACUGGUAGAGGGAUGAAUUUUGGACUUGGAAGAAAAGAAAAGCUUCAUGGAAGAUAUGAAAGCAAAAUUGGUUCAUAUGAUGACAAAUUCAACAACAAUCUGG